GAUGAGCUGUAAGUUCUGGAUCUCAGGCAGGGAUGACAAUCAGCUGGCCUUGGCCCUUGGGAGGGGCCCCGGAGAGGGCAAGGCCUGGAGGGGACCGGAUGCCCGGAUGGAACCCUGCAGGUGGGACCCCUACAGCCACACCUCCCGGGCCAGCCCGAGCCGGGAACCAGCCCCUCGUCAUUUUUUUUUUUUUUAAAUAGUGUAUGUUAAUAUGGACUUUAUAUUUUAGGGCAGGUUUAGGGUUACAGAAAAUGGAACACUGUUCCCCUAUACCUCUGUCCCCCCACACACCGAAUUUCUUCUAUAUGAAGUCUCGCAUUGUUGUGAUACAUUCGUUACGAUGGACAUUACAAUGAUAACAUUGACCCAUUAUUUUUUACGUUUUUAAUGUUCGUUUUUGAGAGCGGGGGAGGGGCAGAGAGCGAGGGAGACACAGAGUCCGAAGCAAGCUGUCAGCCCAGAGCCCGAUGCGGGGCUCGAACUCGUGACCACAAGAUCAUGACCCGAGCCGAAGUCGGGACGCUUGGCCGACUGAGCUGUCCAGGCGCCCCUGUUGACACGUUAUCAUGAACUGACACCCAUUUUUGGUGUUGGACACUGUGGGUUUGGAUGAAUGGACGAUGACCGGUUUCUACCAUUGCAGUGACACAGAGUAGUGUCACUGUCCUGCCUAUUCAGCCUCUCCUCUCCCCCAGCCCCCGAUAACUGCGUUUUGUUUUUUUUAACACAGUUCUGCCUUUUCCAGAAUGUCAUGUAGUUGGACCCCUACAGUGUAGGCUUUUCUCGCCGGCGUCUUUCACUUGGUAACACGCAUUUGAGCUUUCUGCGUGGCUUCCCGUGGCUUGAUGGAGCAUUUCUUUUUAGCUGAACACUAUUUCAUUGUGGGGAUCGACCACAGUUAAUGUACCCGUCACCUGCCGAAGGAUGUCGUGGUUGCUCCCAGACCCCUGCCUUUCUGCGGGCGGGCAGUACUCGAACAGUGCCCUCCCUGUCCCCUUGGCCCAUGCCUGCCAGGGGGCCACCCCUCGGAACUACAACGUCUCCAGGCUGUCCUGGGCCCCUGUCACCCUUACCCCGGCCUGGCACCGGGCAGGUCUACUCCAAGGUCUCAGCUAGUGUCAAAUGGCCGCAGGGGUCUUGCCCAAAGAUGGCAGGCCUGGUACCCAGAGGGCAAAUAUGUCAACGCUCUGGCUGGUAGACCCCGGCCACCUCCUCCAGGAAGCCCUGCUCCUCAGAGUUCUGUUGUUAAAGUUUCCCCCCAAAUUCAUGUCCACUCAGAACCUCACAAUGUGACCUUAUUUGUAAAUAGGGUCUCUGUAUAUGUAAUUAGGGACAUAUUUGGAGACGAGGCCAUCCUGCAUUAUAAGUGCCCUGGAUCCAAUGACAAGUGUCCUUAGAAGAAGAGGAGAGACACAGACACAGAGGGAAGCCACAUGAAAAUGGAGGCGGAGCCUGGAGCCCCUAGAAGCUGGAAGAGGCAGGAGGGAGCCUCCCCCUGAGCCCCUCGGGGUGAGGGGCUUGGCCCUGCCCCCCUGGAUCUCUGACUUUGGGUCUCCAGACUGUGAGCGGCUGGAUUUCUGUUCCCUGAGCCACCAGUUUGUGAUAAGGUGAGGCGAAUCAAAAGGAACACCUCUCCUCUGAUUUGUUCACACCAGUGAACUUUUCCAUCAAUAAAAAAGCCCAAUUUGCUCA
This is a long non-coding RNA of Leopardus geoffroyi (Geoffroy's cat), 1692 nucleotides long. RefSeq lists it as uncharacterized. The transcript has 2 exons. Lineage: Eukaryota; Metazoa; Chordata; Mammalia; Carnivora; Felidae. The record is from RefSeq and is a predicted model, not a curated record.